Long non-coding RNA from Otolemur garnettii (small-eared galago), 1001 nucleotides. RefSeq lists it as uncharacterized. The record is from RefSeq and is a predicted model, not a curated record. The transcript has 5 exons. Lineage: Eukaryota; Metazoa; Chordata; Mammalia; Primates; Galagidae.
UGCGCCGUGGAGCUGCAGUCAGGUUUGCUGUGGUCAGCAGUGGUCUGGCAGGAAUCUCCACCAGCUCUUCAUGGUCAGCUGCCCGUCGAAGCCCCCUCUGCUCACGUUCAGGAACUGCUGCCGCACUGCCAGGAAGUCGAUCUGGCCCCUGUCAACCACAUCUUCCUCCAGGUCCUGUGGCCUCUUGGAGAGGGUGUCCUUGGCAUCCAGGUGCCAGGCCUCAGGGGCAGUGGACCAUGCCUGCUGCUUAUCCUGACCCCAGCUGCUUGCCUCAGGACCCACACUCACCAGCUGGAACGUGUAGCUGGUGUCUCCAUCAAGCACCAGGCCAGUGACACGGGCUUCCUUCAAUGUGGACUGUGGGACACCUCCUCUAGGGAGCCUGCUGGAUUGUCCUUCCCUCUGAAUCCAUCACUGAGGUGUCAUAAGGGUCAGGCCUGCACCAAGCACCCAAGUUUUAGGCAUCCUUUGAUGGCUGAACAAAAAAAGGCUCCCCUGAGGGCACAGGGACUUUGGAGCUCCCCAAACAGCCCUUGAUGCUCCUGGUUGUACCAAAGCUGUCAUUUAGAUUCCCUGCCUUUACACCGACUGGCUUUUAAGAGCUCAAUGUCAUUCUAAAAAGGAAAACAUUGCCCCUCCCUGAACAGAAAAGUGGCAUCAAGCAACAUAAAGUUAAUCAUGGAGAACAAUGAUAUAACUGACACAUGUUACGUGCCAUGUAACCUUUUGUAGAUACGGAAUAUCAAAAACUGCAAUAAGGAAAACAACAGUGAAAAAACAAGCAGUCUUGGGGAAUAAAUCCCAGCCACACUUGGCUGAGCCUCAGUGCCAAGGGGCAAUGAGCAUAUAACCUCUACCCCUCACCUCUCCUUUAACAGCCCCUCCUAGAAGUCCCCUUUAAGCUCUCCUUUACUUCCACCUGAAACCAUUGCCCCAGGGAAGCAUUCCUUCCCACAGCUUAUGACCUGGUAUACAGCAGGUACUCAAUAAAGACUGGCUGA